GUCUUUGUAGUGUAACGGUAGCACACUCAGCGCGUAUUCGAGAAUUCCAGGUUCAAAUCCUGACGAGGGCG
This 71-nucleotide transfer RNA is filed under the name Stegodyphus mimosarum. It matches the Rfam family "tRNA". Rfam says of the family: Transfer RNA (tRNA) molecules are approximately 80 nucleotides in length. Their secondary structure includes four short double-helical elements and three loops (D, anti-codon, and T loops). Lineage: Eukaryota; Metazoa; Arthropoda; Arachnida; Araneae; Eresidae. The record is from Rfam by way of RNAcentral.